Molecule: long non-coding RNA, 427 nt
Filed under: Rosa chinensis
Lineage: Eukaryota; Viridiplantae; Streptophyta; Magnoliopsida; Rosales; Rosaceae
Description: sRNA RchiOBHm_Chr2g0154381
Source: RNAcentral
CCUAGAAGUAAACCCGAUCGAGUUCCCUCCCUUACCUAAAACUGUGCUCUCGGCCGCCUCCCUCCGACUCAACACUAGGUCUCAAAACUCAAUCACCAUCUGAGAAUUGAGAAUCACUCCUGCAGCUGAGAAUCACUCAACCUAGAAGUAAACCCGACACCAUCUGAGGCUCAGUCCCGCCGCCGCGACUCCCUCUGAGGCUCAGUCCCGCCGCGACUCCGUCUGAGGCUCAGUCCCGCCGCGACUCCGUCUGAGGCUCAGUCCCGCCGCGACUCCCUCUGAGGCUCAGUCCCGCCGCGACUCCCUCAGUCCCUCACCAUGACUCCUUCUGUCCCUCGCCACGACGCCAUGGCUACUCUCUGAGGCUCAAACGCCCAGUCCCACCGCGACUCCAUCGAGCCACCUCCACCUCUCCACACGGCCACGC